UCCACCAGGAGAUCGGGCUCUAACGUACAUGGUUCUUGCCUUUUACCAGAACCAUCCGGGGCCCGUCUUUGUAUAAUGGUGUAUCGUAUAAUUUUUGGGAACCACAAACCAUAUUGUUAC
Molecule: small nuclear RNA, 120 nt
Rfam family: U5 spliceosomal RNA
About the family: U5 RNA is a component of both types of known spliceosome. The precise function of this molecule is unknown, though it is known that the 5' loop is required for splice site selection and p220 binding, and that both the 3' stem-loop and the Sm site are important for Sm protein binding and cap methylation.